UAGAGUCUUCUGAACUCCCAACCAUUGUGAACAUAUCAUGUUGCUUCGGCGGGUUGCGGGCUGGCCUAGCGCCUAACGCACCGCCCGCCGGAGGCCAAACUCUUGUUUUCUAGCGGAAUCUUCUGAGUUUUUACCAAUAAGCAAUCA
RNAcentral lists this unclassified non-coding RNA (147 nucleotides) under uncultured Ascomycota. Its description in RNAcentral is "sequence contains ITS1". Lineage: Eukaryota; Fungi; Ascomycota. The record is from RNAcentral.